RNAcentral lists this long non-coding RNA (232 nucleotides) under Hordeum vulgare. Its description in RNAcentral is "long non-coding RNA (HVUL_LNC016062)". Lineage: Eukaryota; Viridiplantae; Streptophyta; Magnoliopsida; Poales; Poaceae. The record is from RNAcentral.
GCCAACACAGGUCGCCAUGGUCGAGCACGAAGAUGCGGCGGCCAUGGAGGAGCAACCCCUCGUCCAAGCGCCAGGGCGCUGCCAGCUCGCCGGCGUCAAGGCGCUGGAGCAGGCCCUGCGCGUCCGCGGCCGUCGAAGUUGCCCGGCGAAUGUCGUCGAUGAAGGCGAAAGAUGGCCCGGAGCGGAUGCACAUGAUAGUGCCAGCCGUGGCGACGUCGUCCGCGAUAUCCUC